ACAAGAAUAUACUCUGCUACAGAAGAAUGUAUUUUUGUCAUUUACAUUAUCUUCAAAAUUUCCCACUUCUUAGAAGUGCCAAAUUUGGAUGUGCAAUGGGAAUUCCAAAUGGGUUCUACACUAAAGUAGGCAGAGUCAUAGGAAUUUUUAUAGGCUUUUUUGGAAGGCCACCAAACAGAAGCUCUGCGAUUUAAGGGGUUCCUACAUUAAAGACAUUUUAGUGGGGGACACACUACAUGGAAAGUAUGAGCAUACAUUAAUUUUGGGUUUAUUGUUUCUUCUUUUCUUGCAAGAGGGCAUGAGCCUCAGUUCGUAUGGCAUGAUGAUAGCAGUUUUCCGAAAUCUGGUUGGAGUAGCAUAUGUGGGAGUUAAUUAUUUUAUUGGAAUUUCAGGAGAACAAAGUAUAGUAAUAAUGUGGUUUAUAAAUGACAAAAAGAGAUGAAAUUUCAGACAAGAAAUUAUGAGACUGAUUAGUAAAGACAAACUGAUUCAUUUUGUAUGACUGGUUUAGGAAUUGACGAAUGUUAUGUACAGACGGUCUG
Molecule: long non-coding RNA, 542 nt
Organism: Cryptomeria japonica (Japanese cedar)
Lineage: Eukaryota; Viridiplantae; Streptophyta; Pinopsida; Cupressales; Cupressaceae
Exons: 3
Source: RefSeq, a predicted model, not a curated record